RNAcentral lists this ribosomal RNA (394 nucleotides) under uncultured bacterium. Its description in RNAcentral is "bacterial SSU rRNA". It matches the Rfam family "Bacterial small subunit ribosomal RNA", at positions 505 to 898 of the family's 1533-position model. The record is from RNAcentral.
GUGCCAGCAGCCGCGGUAAGACGAACCGAGCGAACGUUGUUCGGAAUCACUGGGCUUAAAGGGCGCGUAGGCGGCUUACCAAGUCAGGGGUGAAAUUUUGCGGCUUAACCGUAACAGUGCCUUUGAUACUGGUAGGCUCGAGGGAGGUAGGGGUCCGCGGAACUUCUGGUGGAGCGGUGAAAUGCGUUGAUAUCAGAAGGAACGCCGGUGGCGAAAGCGGCGGACUGGAUCUCUUCUGACGCUGAGGCGCGAAAGCUAGGGGAGCAAACGGGAUUAGAUACCCCGGUAGUCCUAGCCCUAAACGAUGGGUACUAGAUUGUAAGCGUGACAUGCGCCUACAGUCGAAGCAAAAGUGUUAAGUACCCCGCCUGGGGAGUAUGGUCGCAAGGCUGAA